Long non-coding RNA from Bos taurus (domestic cattle), 1121 nucleotides. Lineage: Eukaryota; Metazoa; Chordata; Mammalia; Artiodactyla; Bovidae. The record is from Ensembl.
UUCCUGGGCGGAGGCAGUCCCUUCUGGGCGGCCCAGGAUCCCGGCCCAGUUGACCUGCUUAGCUGCAGUCUCCCGCCCUCAAUCCGAAAGGGCGGACGUGGGGCGGGGGGAGGGUGUCUGGAGGAAGCGCGCGCGGGACUAGGCCGUGGGGCUGAGGCGGUUCUUGGGCGGAGCCCCGCCCUAGUCUCCGCCCUUGACGGGCCGGACCCGCCCUCCGAGAGCCGCACGGCAGCCCGCCACGGGAAAUCUGGGUUUGUUUGUUUUUUUACUGUAAAAUCUCCAGGUGUGGGCAACUGUAUCAGAUGUUUUAAAAGUGCAUAAGCUGAUUAAGCCAACACAAGCCCUGUCAGUUUGUAUGACCUCUGACUUGAAGGAAAGAGUGAAGAGAAGUUCCACGGCCAAAUCCUAGGCACCCCAGCAUUUAAGAUAGCGUAAUGGAGAAGGAGAUUUGAGAGGGAACAGCCAGGAAGACAGAAGGAAAUCCACUGAGUGUUAAAUUUGGAAUCCGAGGGCAGAGAAGGAUUCAGGGCUUGCAGGAUCUUACAGGAUCGAACCCAGACCCACAGGAGUGAAAGCGCUGAGUCUUAACCACUGGACUGCCAGGAAAUUCCCUUGUUUGACUUAAAUCAGGGUGAAAUUCAUGAAAGAAUAUAAGGAAACUGGGAGGUUUGACCCUGGAUAGGAACAGGAUGCUUCCACUGUGGAAAUUAGAGUAACAAGGGUGAAGAUGGAUGCAGAUGCAGGGGAGAGAAAUGGGUCCAGUGCCUUAUAAAGAAGCUUCAUAGAAAUCCCAGCCCCUGCCACCACAUGAGGACACAGCCAGAAGGCACCAGCUGUGAACCAAGAAAAGGGCCUUCACCAGAAUGUGACCAUGUUGGUGCUUUGACCUCAGAUUUUCCAGCCUCCAGAACUGUGAACAGUAAACAUCUGCUGUUUAUAAGCGCCCAGUUGGUGGUAUUUUGUUAUAGCAGCCUGAACAGACUAAGACAACUACUGUAUUUACACUGUAUCAACUAUCAUUACAACUAUACGACCUCUGAGGAAUCAAUUAGAAACCAGAAUGAGGUCCAGGUGGCCUUGCAGCCUGCUCUCUGCUCUCUGAAGACAAAGAUCCCAUGUGC